GAUGAACGCUGGCGGCGUGCUUAACACAUGCAAGUCGAACGAUGAAGCCCAGCUUGCUGGGUGGAUUAGUGGCGAACGGGUGAGUAAUACGUGAGUAACCUGCCCUUAACUCUGGGAUAAGCCUGGGAAACUGGGUCUAAUACCGGAUAGGAGCGUCCACCGCAUGGUGGGUGUUGGAAAGCUUUAUCGGUUUUGGAUGGACUCGCGGCCUAUCAGCUUGUUGGUGAGGUAAUGGCUCACCAAGGCGACGCCGGGUAGCAGGCCUGAGAGGGUGACCGGCCACACUGGGACUGAGACACGGCCCAGACUCCUACGGGAGGCAGCAGUGGGGAAUAUUGCACAAUGGGCGCAAGCCUGAUGCAGCGACGCCGCGUGAGGGAUGACGGCCUUCGGGUUGUAAACCUCUUUCAGUAGGGAAGAAGCGAAAGUGACGGUACCUGCAGAAGAAGCACCGGCUAACUACGUG
This 466-nucleotide ribosomal RNA is filed under the name uncultured bacterium. Its description in RNAcentral is "partial 16S ribosomal RNA". It matches the Rfam family "Bacterial small subunit ribosomal RNA", at positions 28 to 507 of the family's 1533-position model. The record is from RNAcentral.